This 718-nucleotide ribosomal RNA is filed under the name uncultured bacterium. Its description in RNAcentral is "bacterial SSU rRNA". It matches the Rfam family "Bacterial small subunit ribosomal RNA", at positions 51 to 780 of the family's 1533-position model. The record is from RNAcentral.
AGAUUGCAGUCGAGCGACCCCGGCUUUAUGCCAGGGAGCGGCGGACGGCUGAGUAACACGUAGGAACCUACCCGGUUGUGGACCAUAGCCCGCCGAAAGGCGGGGUAAUAGUCCAUAGCCCCCGACUCAGUCGGGGUAAAGGGCGUAACUGCUCGCAACCGGAUGGGCUUGCGGCCUAUCAGGUAGUUGGUAGGGUAAUGGCCUACCAAGCCUAUGACGGGUAGCUGGCCUGAGAGGGUGGUCAGCCAGAGGGGGACUGAGACACGGCCCCCACUCCUACGGGAGGCAGCAAUCAGGAAUCGUCGGCAAUGGGCGAAAGCUUGACCGCGCGACGCCGCGUGCGGGAAGAAGCUCGAAAGAGUGUAAACCGCUGUGGUAGGGGAAGAAGUCUCACUUUGGUGAGAUUGACGGUACCCUACUAGAAAGGGGCCGCUAACUGCGUGCCAGAAGCGUCGGUAAUACGUGGGCCCCAAACGUUAUCCGGUCUUACUGGGUGUAAAAGGUCGCGUAGGCGUCCUACUAAGUUUUAUCUUAAAGCCUGCAGCCCAACUGCGGAAAAGGGUAAAAUACUGGUAGGAUAGAGUAGUCUUUAGGGGAACUGGAACUCAGGGAGGAGUAGUGAAAUGCGUUGAUACCCUGGGGAACACCAGUGGCGAAGGCGAGUUCCUGGAAGACUACUGACGCUGAGGCACGAAAGCUAGGGGAGCGAAGCAGAUUA